ACGACCUGUGCGGGAGAGCCCGGUGAAUGCGACCGGGCACCGAAGGAGCAAGCCUCCCCGCCAAUCUCUCAGGUAUCCAUACCGCUCCGGUCCG
This 94-nucleotide non-coding RNA is filed under the name Microbacterium esteraromaticum. Its description in RNAcentral is "Glycine sequence". It matches the Rfam family "Glycine riboswitch aptamer". From Rfam's summary of the family: This family represents the bacterial glycine riboswitch. Glycine riboswitches usually consist of two metabolite-binding aptamers domains with similar structures in tandem. The record is from Rfam by way of RNAcentral. Lineage: Bacteria; Bacillati; Actinomycetota; Actinomycetes; Micrococcales; Microbacteriaceae.